This 1644-nucleotide ribosomal RNA is filed under the name Escherichia coli. Its description in RNAcentral is "partial 23S ribosomal RNA". It matches the Rfam family "Bacterial large subunit ribosomal RNA", at positions 1292 to 2915 of the family's 2925-position model. The record is from RNAcentral. Lineage: Bacteria; Pseudomonadati; Pseudomonadota; Gammaproteobacteria; Enterobacterales; Enterobacteriaceae.
GAAUGCUGACAUAAGUAACGAUAAAGCGGGUGAAAAGCCCGCUCGCCGGAAGACCAAGGGUUCCUGUCCAACGUUAAUCGGGGCAGGGUGAGUCGACCCCUAAGGCGAGGCCGAAAGGCGUAGUCGAUGGGAAACAGGUUAAUAUUCCUGUACUUGGUGUUACUGCGAAGGGGGGACGGAGAAGGCUAUGUUGGCCGGGCGACGGUUGUCCCGGUUUAAGCGUGUAGGCUGGUUUUCCAGGCAAAUCCGGAAAAUCAAGGCUGAGGCGUGAUGACGAGGCACUACGGUGCUGAAGCAACAAAUGCCCUGCUUCCAGGAAAAGCCUCUAAGCAUCAGGUAACAUCAAAUCGUACCCCAAACCGACACAGGUGGUCAGGUAGAGAAUACCAAGGCGCUUGAGAGAACUCGGGUGAAGGAACUAGGCAAAAUGGUGCCGUAACUUCGGGAGAAGGCACGCUGAUAUGUAGGUGAAGCGACUUGCUCGUGGAGCUGAAAUCAGUCGAAGAUACCAGCUGGCUGCAACUGUUUAUUAAAAACACAGCACUGUGCAAACACGAAAGUGGACGUAUACGGUGUGACGCCUGCCCGGUGCCGGAAGGUUAAUUGAUGGGGUUAGCGCAAGCGAAGCUCUUGAUCGAAGCCCCGGUAAACGGCGGCCGUAACUAUAACGGUCCUAAGGUAGCGAAAUUCCUUGUCGGGUAAGUUCCGACCUGCACGAAUGGCGUAAUGAUGGCCAGGCUGUCUCCACCCGAGACUCAGUGAAAUUGAACUCGCUGUGAAGAUGCAGUGUACCCGCGGCAAGACGGAAAGACCCCGUGAACCUUUACUAUAGCUUGACACUGAACAUUGAGCCUUGAUGUGUAGGAUAGGUGGGAGGCUUUGAAGUGUGGACGCCAGUCUGCAUGGAGCCGACCUUGAAAUACCACCCUUUAAUGUUUGAUGUUCUAACGUUGGCCCGUUAUCCGGGUUGCGGACAGUGUCUGGUGGGUAGUUUGACUGGGGCGGUCUCCUCCUAAAGAGUAACGGAGGAGCACGAAGGUUGGCUAAUCCUGGUCGGACAUCAGGAGGUUAGUGCAAUGGCAUAAGCCAGCUUGACUGCGAGCGUGACGGCGCGAGCAGGUGCGAAAGCAGGUCAUAGUGAUCCGGUGGUUCUGAAUGGAAGGGCCAUCGCUCAACGGAUAAAAGGUACUCCGGGGAUAACAGGCUGAUACCGCCCAAGAGUUCAUAUCGACGGCGGUGUUUGGCACCUCGAUGUCGGCUCAUCACAUCCUGGGGCUGAAGUAGGUCCCAAGGGUAUGGCUGUUCGCCAUUUAAAGUGGUACGCGAGCUGGGUUUAGAACGUCGUGAGACAGUUCGGUCCCUAUCUGCCGUGGGCGCUGGAGAACUGAGGGGGGCUGCUCCUAGUACGAGAGGACCGGAGUGGACGCAUCACUGGUGUUCGGGUUGUCAUGCCAAUGGCACUGCCCGGUAGCUAAAUGCGGAAGAGAUAAGUGCUGAAAGCAUCUAAGCACGAAACUUGCCCCGAGAUGAGUUCUCCCUGACUCCCUGAGAGUCCUGAAGGAACGUUGAAGACGACGACGUUGAUAGGCCGGGUGUGUAAGCGCAGCGAUGCGUUGAGCUAACCGGUACUAAUGAACCGUGAGG